This 88-nucleotide transfer RNA is filed under the name Anaerolineae bacterium. RNAcentral's name for it is "tRNA-Ser". It matches the Rfam family "tRNA". From Rfam's summary of the family: Transfer RNA (tRNA) molecules are approximately 80 nucleotides in length. Their secondary structure includes four short double-helical elements and three loops (D, anti-codon, and T loops). Further hydrogen bonds mediate the characteristic L-shaped molecular structure. tRNAs have two regions of fundamental functional importance: the anti-codon, which is responsible for specific mRNA codon recognition, and the 3' end, to which the tRNAs corresponding amino acid is attached (by aminoacyl-tRNA synthetases). tRNAs cope with the degeneracy of the genetic code in two manners: having more than one tRNA (with a specific anti-codon) for a particular amino acid; and 'wobble' base-pairing, i.e. permitting non-standard base-pairing at the 3rd anti-codon position. The record is from RNAcentral. Lineage: Bacteria; Bacillati; Chloroflexota; Anaerolineae.
GGAGAGGUGCCAGAGCGGUUGAAUGGGCUCGUCUCGAAAACGAGUGUAGGUGACGAAUCUACCGAGAGUUCGAAUCUCUCCCUCUCCG